ACCUGGAUGGCUCAGUUGGUUGAGUGUCUGACUUUGGCCCAGGCCAUGAUCCUGCACUUUGUGGGCUCAAGUCCCACUUCAGGCU
Molecule: transfer RNA, 85 nt
Filed under: Felis catus (domestic cat)
Lineage: Eukaryota; Metazoa; Chordata; Mammalia; Carnivora; Felidae
Also listed under: 4 other names
Rfam family: tRNA
About the family: Transfer RNA (tRNA) molecules are approximately 80 nucleotides in length. Their secondary structure includes four short double-helical elements and three loops (D, anti-codon, and T loops). Further hydrogen bonds mediate the characteristic L-shaped molecular structure. tRNAs have two regions of fundamental functional importance: the anti-codon, which is responsible for specific mRNA codon recognition, and the 3' end, to which the tRNAs corresponding amino acid is attached (by aminoacyl-tRNA synthetases). tRNAs cope with the degeneracy of the genetic code in two manners: having more than one tRNA (with a specific anti-codon) for a particular amino acid; and 'wobble' base-pairing, i.e. permitting non-standard base-pairing at the 3rd anti-codon position.
Source: Rfam by way of RNAcentral